UACCUUCUUCUGAUCUCGUCGUGCAGUUGUUUGGUAAUCAUCGCUUACGUUUUCACAUGAUCGAGUAGUUCGGCGGAGUUCAGUUUCGUUUGUUGUCAACGAACGCGAGAUAACUUUGUGUCGUUUUCCUUUUCUCGAGUGUAAAGGGCGGAUUUAUCUUGAAACUCGUGGAUUCAAUCUCUCUCCAUUUGUUUCUGGUGAUUAACUUGGAUGUUACGGUAAUCUUGGUCAUCGGGAUUCUGUAUUCGACGGACUGGAUCAGAUAAUGUGAAUAAUGUUCCAAGGGGUUUUGACUUGAACCUGAGUUUUGACGAUGCGGCAGGCAGCAGAGGAAAUGGGGGUGUACGAUUGUUACUAGCGGUAGAAAAUUGUCAUCUACAUGUGAUGAGAGUGCUUAUUAUACUAAGAAUUUAAGCUAAAAGGGAAUGGAGCGGUCUUUUUGCGUGUCAUCAUUAUUUUUCUUUUUCUUGUUUUUGAUGUUAUUGGAGCUCGCUUAUAUUGCAUGUUUAUGCCAUAUCCAAUUCAAGAAGUUUUGCCCCCUUUUUUCUUUUUUCUUGUUUUUGAUAUUAUUGGAGCAGGCUUAUAUUGCAUGUUCAUGCCAUAUCCAUUUCAAGAAGUUUUGCAGUCAGGGAAUGUCAGGGGUUUAUUUAUUGGUGGGUGUUUAUUUAUCCGGGAAGAGUUUACCGUCAGAGAAUGUCAGGAUUUUUGGUUACCAUUGAAGAGUGCAUUUAGCUGGAAGGAUCAAUUACAUGAAAGUGGGGAGGUGGUGACUUCUGGCAGUUUUCGUCAUGAUGCAGGACUUUCGAUCCUUUUAAUAGCUGCCUUAAGCUCUUGCUGGAUUGAUUCUCUUGUUGGUGACAUCACCAUAUCAUCCCAAAUGAAACCAGACCCGGAGCUAGUAUCUUCCUGUGGGUAGAGUUCAUAGAUUGAAUUAGCAUCCUCAUUUACUUUGCUCAGCUUCUCCAGACAGAUGAUCUCCUGUGGGUCUACCAAUAGGUUGCUGCUUCCAUCCUUCCAACCUAUCAGCUGCAGACAAGAUGAAAGCCAAUACUAUAUUACCCUGUAUCAAGAUAUCAUGGUGGUUGAAUGUUGCACUUUCUUUAAGUGAAAAAAGUGGAGAGAGGAAGAAACCUUAGCAGAUCCCAUGGAGUUGGUUGAGUAGAGCCUGGCAUUGUCAACAAGUUGACAAUAUCUUGGAAAGGCAUUAGCAAACCUUUGGUGAGACUUCAAUUGGGAUUUCACUCUAACUGCUCUACCCAUUAUUAUAGCUCUCCUGCCAUUGACAUCAUAGAGUUGAGCUUGGAAACUUUCAGCUCAAUGACCUUAUGGUCGAAAAUUUCAGGUUAGAACAACUAGCCAAUGUACUUCUCCUGUCCACAUUGAUUGUCUCUAUUCAGCUCUGUUAGUUAUCCGGUAUUUAUGACCCAAGAAGUCUUAUAUAUAUAUAUAUAUAUAUAUAUAUAUAUAUAUAUAUAUAUAUAUUCAAUUUAGGUGCAUGAACCCCCCAAGGCAUAAAUUGUUACAUUUGGGUUUGAUUCAAGAGUAAGGUUUUUUUUAGAGUCGUACCUGAUUCCUCGGACUACUGCUAGGUAGGCAUCACAAACAACUCCAACCAUCUCUAUCCUGUAAGGCUUCCUUGUACUGCACUUAUUGUUCUCUUGGUUGUCCUCCACCGGUUCCCAGUAGUUCUCUGUGAUGGUCCCAUCAUCAGCAACCUUGUAUCCAGCUCCCAUCCGAUACUGCUGGUGAUGUACAUUCCGUGCCAUGGCUAUGGUUUGCUGAACAAAUGGUUCCCAGGAGAGAGUGCCAUCCAUGAUCACAUCUCGACCUUCAUUCAGCGCAGUCACGAGUAGAGAGGAAGCUGCAUCUGUCGAUGACUGAUGGACCUGCUUGUAAUUGUUGUGUGAGCUCAGUUUAUUCUGGAAGCUUAGACCAUGAGGAGGACAAGGAUGACAUCAGAUUAUUUACUGAUUGAUGUUGGAGAUAUUGAUCUAUAUUCUCUAAACUCUGUUGAUGAUAUCUGAUCUGAUAUGGAUUUCAGAGAACCCAUGUUUAACUAGAUUGUAGGCAUAGAUUAAUGGAACUGAAUCUAGUCUAAGAUUGAAUGAACUCAGAAUCAGAUCCAUACUCGAAGGAAAUUACACACAUCUGGGCUGAAUCAGAAGUCUGUCCUCCCUGUUUCGGAAGAUUCGAUAGUCAUGGAGUAUGUGAUAUGUGGUGUCUAAGCUCCAAGCGGAAGAAGAAUAACUGAAAGCAGAAGAGUUAAGGAAUAAAAUCUCUAAACAAAGAACAGUAGAGAGAGGAAUACCAGUUCAGCAGUCUGGAGCAUGUCAUCAUGAUGACCUCUGGAGCUGAUAGCUCGAUAAAUGACAUCCGUCUCUUUGAAUGCAUCAGCUUCAACCACCACUGUGUUUGCUGCAGCGCCAGACCAGAAGGCUCUGAUAUGCGGGUAACAACGUAUCAUGAUAAAAGACUAUGCAUAUCUAACUGAUGAAAAGCAGAUACAAAUAUGGUAAUUUCCAGUCAUAUCAGGAUCAGAUAUAUCUAACUAGAUACAUUGUUGAUCUGAAGUUUUUUAACUUGUUUAGUUUGAAUGUGACCUAGAACCAUUACUGUCCUUUUGAUCUUGGUUGUUUGAGUGGAGGACAUGGGACAUUUGGGCAUCCCACCUGUCACCUUAGCUGUUUUUAACUCUUCUACUCAGACCAUACCUUAAUAAUAAACUCUUCUGAUAUACUGGUGUAUGUCUAAUAGUGCUACCCAACAUUGGAGAUGCCUGUCAAGGCAGUGAUUUAAAAUUUAAAAUUUUUAAUUUAUUUUACUUUUUUUUUUCACCAAGUAUCAUUUUGCUUCUGGUCUCUAAUUAACCGACGUCUUUUUUUCAUUUUUUUUUAUUACCACUUUAUUGAAAUUACAGUCAAGGAGUUGGCAUUUCGCCAAGUUUUAGUGAAUUAUACUGUUAGCAGAAUAUGCUAGGAUGAACUGCUUCAGUGACAAGAAACUAGUAAUUAUUACUACUUUAUAUAUGUAGGCCUCAUGAACCGACAAGAUCUUACUGUUCCCCUGGUCUUAAGAUGCACAUGGUAUGACUGCUACUUUGUGCCAUGCAUACUGUAUAUAAUCUGAACAUCAAAUGAAAGCUUCUUUAAAGUUGGUUUACUUGGUGAUGGUUUUUGUACUUUUUAAUCUCUGUUCUUUAUCAUUCCCUUAAUACAUUUGGGGUCUGUUUUAAUUUAGUGUGAUGUUAAAAGAAAAGAACUUACUCCUUUAGUAUUUCCUUUAGCACAGUGCUCUUGCCAGCUCCCAUCCCACCACCCAUCAGAAGAAGAACAGGGCUCCGAUCAGCAAUGGCUGCCGGAACCAUCACGUCAGUGCACUGGGAUUCAUCAUGGGUUCCAAUGCCAAUGGCCUUCAUCUCCUCCACCAAUGUCGAUAUGACUCUUGUGACCUUCAGGUCUUUUGUUACCCUUUCAAAUCUUAGUUUCCUGUGUUCAACCAUGUGAAUUACCACCACUAUGUUAGUGAAUCAGUUUUGAUUUGCUUAAAAGUAUGUUAACUGAUUCAGAAAACUAUAGCUUUCUUGUGAUAACAGCAUGAGGACUAAAGUAUAGAAAUGCUUUUACAUCCAAAAAACACCAAACAGUGGUGAGAUGAUCUACCAUUACUUUUCCUCCACAUUUUACCAUGAAUGGGGUCAUCUUUUUUUGGGUUUCUUUUGUAGGUGUCUAAUAGAAUAUGUUUUAGUUGAAACACUCACUGCAAGGAGACUUUUCCAGGUACAGUGACAAGAGACACUGUGUUUUGUGAAUCAUAUGAAGGCCGCCUUGUCCUGAUAAUAGAGCUAUAUGGAUUGCACGUGGUACAGGUACCAAAGAACCAUUGAGCUUCCGCCUCUCAUGUGGCUCCACAAGCCCAACCUCACCGCAACAUGGGAUGAGAAGAGUUUUUAAUACAAUCCAGAAAAUUAUCCUCAUGUUCAGCUGGGGAGUGGUGUGAUUCCAGUGGAAAGCAAAAUAACCAAGAAUGCAUUUGUCCAGCUCCUCGACAAGCUUCACAUACAGCGAUUCAUGGUCUGGGUCGUUUGCAAAGAAGGCAAAUAAAUUGUCCUCGCACUCCUUGGUUCUCCUCAGGUAAUCAUGUGCCAUCUUGCACAGGUUAGGACACUCAUUUACGUCCUCGAUCCCCAUCUGCCUAGCUGCAAUUACACCAUCAGAACAUGUCAUCCCUUGGAAGAGACAAUAAACGAUGCAGUAAACAAAAUGCAAAAUGUGGAGGAGGACCAGGUGAAAAGCUUUUCAAACAGGUACAAUGCAUGGACGUGGGUCCGUCGAAUAUGAACCAGUCAUGGUUUUCAUUUUAUCAGCAGUUCUGUUUCCCUGUCAUUUUUCUAGGAUGGGAUGGGAUUCAGGUUCUCGUCGGCUUAAGGGAGGAAAAUAUUACAAUGGGUAUCUUAAGAUCAUAAGAUUUCAGUAUCAUAAUUGGUAUCAUAAGAUAGCUCCAGUAUGAUAAUGGGUGUUCUCUUACUGAUGUUCUAAAUAAUGUUUACUGUGUUAUGGAGUUUUCUUAAUGAGAAGAUAUGUUAUUCAAAGGUAUGUGUGACUGAGGAAAUCAUGUAUCUAAUUCUGAUUUUUAUAGUUACCAACAUAAUGAGGGAAGCUUUCCAGCUGCUCCACCCGCCCGGACUCGGCCAGCAGAAGCACCGGCUGCGGAUCCCUCAUCUGCGGCUACCUCCUCCGUCGCUAGUAGCGCAGCGCUGCAGAGAUGGUACCAGCAGUUGGGUUGACAAUGAGCUAGAGGACAGGUUUGGAGCUCCCAUCUGAUAGGUGGAGCCGGAGGUGAUUUAGUUAGAGAAGUUUCAACGAGAAAGAAAGCAUCAGGGAGAGGUCAAGAGGAAAGGAGAUCCACAAGACUGGUCAAGCUAAUGAGGGGAUGCUUGCCUUUGGGAAUGGUGGCCUGAGGAUAACAUGGAACUUGAGAUCCGAACCUGUAGGAGACGGUGUUGAAUGUGUAACAGAAAAAAACGGGUGGUGGGAGCAUGCAAAAUGAGAAUAGCUUUUGAGGUCAGCGCUGCAUCAUAAGAUGAAAUAAAAGAGGAAAGGAUAAAGGUUGUUUAUUAGACUGCUACCCCAUGAUCAGAUCAUCGGAGAAAGGUCAAGCCUUGAUUGGUGCAUAGAUUGGCUGAAAUGCCAACUUAUGGUGUUGUGAGCAGCAGCCGCGUCACAAUCUUCCAGAAUGAGUUGUCCCUCCGACGGUGGCACUGAAAGAGUUGUGGAUUUGGGUUGUGAGGACACCCUUGAAACUGUCGUCAUGCUAUGGUAAGUGUGACUCUCAAGUUAUCACCAUGACUUUCUCUUUGUUGGUCUCACGAAUAAAUAAUUGUCUAGCGGAACAAAGUUAUAAAUUUGUAACGUAACAUAUGAAUGUUCUCUCACACGUUUAGAUCAUCCACUUGUACUCGAGAUUCUGAUUAGAGUUUUAAGUGUUUUAUUAAGAUAGAUUUUGGUUA
Molecule: long non-coding RNA, 5506 nt
Organism: Musa acuminata AAA Group (dessert banana)
Lineage: Eukaryota; Viridiplantae; Streptophyta; Magnoliopsida; Zingiberales; Musaceae
Exons: 7
Source: RefSeq, a predicted model, not a curated record